RNAcentral lists this long non-coding RNA (278 nucleotides) under Theobroma cacao (cacao). RNAcentral describes it as "long non-coding RNA (TCAC_LNC005272)". The record is from RNAcentral. Lineage: Eukaryota; Viridiplantae; Streptophyta; Magnoliopsida; Malvales; Malvaceae.
CAUUACUCGCACUCUAAAUGCCACUUCUCUGAUCUGUCUCAGUAUCCAUCGCAUUUCAGCUUCUUUCCUUUGAAGGCCUUGUGUACACGAAUCAUUUCUUUCCCUCAUUUGGAAAUACUCUUGCCUUACUGCUUCAUACUAUGCCUUGUAGCCCUCCAUGGCAGUUUCUAACAAGCCGCAGUCAUUUCUUAACUCUUGGAUGGUUUGUUCUUGUCUUCGUACCUUGUGCUGCAAAGCAUUGUUGGCAUUUUGGAGUUCUUGCAUUCUGGCUAUCAGAG